AGUGAACGCUGGCGGUAGGCCUAACACAUGCAAGUCGAACGGCAGCACAGGAGAGCUUGCUCUCUGGGUGGCGAGUGGCGGACGGGUGAGGAAUACAUCGGAAUCUACUUUUUAGAGGGGGAUAACGUAGGGAAACUUACGCUAAUACCGCAUACGACCUACGGGUGAAAGCAGGGGAUCUUCGGACCUUGCGCGAUUGAAUGAGCCGAUGUCGGAUUAGCUAGUUGGCGGGGUAAAGGCCCACCAAGGCGACGAUCCGUAGCUGAUCUGAGAGGAUGAUCAGCCACACUGGAACGGAGACACGGUCCAGACUCCUACGGGAGGCAGCAGUGGGGAAUAUUGGACAAUGGUCGCAAGCCUGAUCCAGCCAUACCGCGUGUGUGAAGAAGGCCUUCGGGUUGUAAAGCCCUUUUGUUGGGAAUGAAAUCCAGCUGGUUAAUACCCGGUUGGGAUGACGGUACCCAAAGAAUAAGCACCGGCUAACUUCGUGCCAGCCGCCGCGGUAA
RNAcentral lists this ribosomal RNA (506 nucleotides) under uncultured bacterium. RNAcentral describes it as "partial 16S ribosomal RNA". It matches the Rfam family "Bacterial small subunit ribosomal RNA", at positions 29 to 523 of the family's 1533-position model. The record is from RNAcentral.